CGGCGGACGGGUGAGUAACACGUGGAUAACCUACCUAUAAGACUGGGAUAACUUAGGGAAACCGGAGCUAAUACCGGAUAAUAUAUUGAACCGCAUGGUUCAAUAGUGAAAGACGGUUUUGCUGUCACUUAUAGAUGGAUCCGCGUCGCAUUAGCUAGUUGGUAAGGUAACGGCUUACCAAGGCAACGAUGCGUAGCCGACCUGAGAGGGUGAUCGGCCACACUGGAACUGAGACACGGUCCAG
RNAcentral lists this ribosomal RNA (244 nucleotides) under uncultured Staphylococcus sp. Its description in RNAcentral is "partial 16S ribosomal RNA". It matches the Rfam family "Bacterial small subunit ribosomal RNA", at positions 96 to 334 of the family's 1533-position model. The record is from RNAcentral. Lineage: Bacteria; Bacillati; Bacillota; Bacilli; Caryophanales; Staphylococcaceae.